GGUUGACCUCGGAUCAGGUAGGGAUACCCGCUGAACUUAAGCAUAUCAAUAAGCGGAGGAAAAGAAACCAACAGGGAUUACCUCAGUAACGGCGAGUGAAGCGGU
This 105-nucleotide ribosomal RNA is filed under the name Bloxamia cyatheicola. Its description in RNAcentral is "partial 28S ribosomal RNA". It matches the Rfam family "Eukaryotic large subunit ribosomal RNA", at positions 1 to 102 of the family's 3401-position model. Lineage: Eukaryota; Fungi; Ascomycota; Leotiomycetes; Helotiales; Bloxamiaceae. The record is from RNAcentral.